This 147-nucleotide small RNA is filed under the name Solirubrobacterales bacterium. RNAcentral describes it as "c-di-AMP sequence". It matches the Rfam family "c-di-AMP riboswitch aptamer (ydaO/yuaA leader)". From Rfam's summary of the family: This family represents a conserved RNA structure found upstream of the ydaO and yuaA genes in Bacillus subtilis and related genes in other bacteria. The ydaO/yuaA element is thought to act as a genetic "off" switch for the ydaO and yuaA genes in its native state. Lineage: Bacteria; Bacillati; Actinomycetota; Thermoleophilia; Solirubrobacterales. The record is from RNAcentral.
AAAACCGAUACGCCGAGUUCCCAGGGCCUCAUGGUCCGGGAAGCGGGGGACCCAGGUAGUUGGGGCGAACCCACUCAGAUGAGUGAGAGCGCGACUCCUAGAGCGCUAGUCCGUCAGCUAACCCCGCAGGCACGAAAAGGAGAUCGG